Balaenoptera ricei (Rice's whale) is the source of this 1060-nucleotide long non-coding RNA. RefSeq lists it as uncharacterized. The record is from RefSeq and is a predicted model, not a curated record. Lineage: Eukaryota; Metazoa; Chordata; Mammalia; Artiodactyla; Balaenopteridae. The transcript has 3 exons.
GUGGGCUUCCAGGAGCCAGGGCCCCUCCCUGGGGAGUCCCUCCAGAGGCACCCCUGGGUCAGCCUCACCCCCGGGCCUUGGAGAGGAAGGAGAAAGGGUGUCUGCAACCUCCCUCCCUGCUCACUAAGUCUCUGCCCCAAGCAACCGAGCAAGAGAAUAGUGAAGCGCCAAGUGAAGAGGGAAGGCAUCAGAGAAUGAGGCCCAAAAAAGAGGGCCCAGGAGGCACAAGAGACCAAACCACACAGCCAGAUGAAGAAACUGCCCUCCGCAAAGAUAAGCCCGUUUUCUGUGGACACAAAACCAAACAGCAGUAGAGUGAAGAACAAGAGCCGAAUUCUCCUUCGGCAGGGGGGUGUCUGCUUAGGGCUUUUGCCACACACCCCAAGAGAGACCAGCCACAGACUCUUGGGGAACUGGGGCUCCCCUGCACCUGGUUUUGAACACCAGGAAGGUUCACACACUCCCACAGAGAGUCCGUGGAUUGACCAGCCAUCAGGGUCCUGGAUUAUCUCCCAGGCUCCGUGAGAAGCUCUCUCUACCGUCCCCGCCUUCCCAAGGGACAUCCUACCUACAGGUGGGGUACGCAGCACCCUGCUCGUCCCAUCUCAGAGGUUCAGAGAGGCACAUCCCUGCCUUUUCUAUUUGCCGGCUGGUGCCUGAAAUCCAACCACUGGCCCAAGGCCUCACAGCAAAUAGUUUUCGUUUUCCUCUCAAGGGCUGGGUGAGCAGGAUGGAGAGGCCUGGCCUGGGCUGAGCCGUAGAGAAAGUGCAGUGUCCCUGUAGCACCUGCCAGGGUGCAGUAGCUUAGGGACAGCAGCAUUCCAGAUCUGGAUCGGGCCAGAGCAAGCUUGUUGUUGUGAAAAAAACAGAAAUCUGAGACCUGCACUUGUGUCAUGGCUCUGUUUUAAAUUUUAUCUUUUAAGGUGCAGAAAAAAAUACCUGAACACGUUUUUUUUCACAACACAAUUUUCCAACAACACAGAGGUUUACAGGACAAUAAAAGCCUCCCUCCGUCCCAUUCCUUUCCCACCCCUUGGCCCAGGAGAGCCACUGUCAUUUG